AACUUAAGCAUAUCAAUAAGCGGAGGAAAAGAAACUAACAAGGAUUCCCCUAGUAACUGCGAGUGAAGCGGGAAAAGCUCAAAUUUAAAAUCUGGCGGUCUCUGGCCGUCCGAGUUGUAAUCUAGAGAAGUAAUGCCCGUGCUGGACCGUGUAUAAGUCUCCUGGGAUGGAGCGUCAUAGAGGGUGAGAAUCCCGUCUUUGACACGGACUACCAGUGCAUUGUGGUAUGCUCUCAAAGAGUCGAGUUGUUUGGGAAUGCAGCUCAAAAUGGGUGGUAAAUUCCAUCUAAAGCUAAAUAUUGGCGAGAGACCGAUAGCGAACAAGUACCGUGAGGGAAAGAUGAAAAGAACUUUGGAAAGAGAGUUAAACAGUACGUGAAAUUGCUGAAAGGGAAACGCUUGAAGUCAGUCGCGUUGGCCAGGGAUCAGCCUUGCUCUUGCAUGGUGUACUUUCUGGUUGACGGGUCAGCAUCAAUUUUGAUCGCUGGAAAAGGGCCUGGGGAAUGUGGCAGCUUCGGCUGUGUUAUAGCCCUUGGUCGCAUACAGCGGUUGGGAUUGAGGAACUCAGCACGCCGCAAGGCCGGGUUUCGACCACGUUCGUGCUUAGGAUGCUGGCAUAAU
RNAcentral lists this ribosomal RNA (620 nucleotides) under Agaricus sp. 13 KA-2022. RNAcentral's name for it is "partial large subunit ribosomal RNA". It matches the Rfam family "Eukaryotic large subunit ribosomal RNA", at positions 31 to 635 of the family's 3401-position model. The record is from RNAcentral. Lineage: Eukaryota; Fungi; Basidiomycota; Agaricomycetes; Agaricales; Agaricaceae.